RNAcentral lists this ribosomal RNA (507 nucleotides) under uncultured Phyllobacterium sp. RNAcentral's name for it is "partial 16S ribosomal RNA". It matches the Rfam family "Bacterial small subunit ribosomal RNA", at positions 914 to 1383 of the family's 1533-position model. The record is from RNAcentral. Lineage: Bacteria; Pseudomonadati; Pseudomonadota; Alphaproteobacteria; Hyphomicrobiales; Phyllobacteriaceae.
CCCCCCCGGGGCCCNGCACAAGCGGUGGAGCAUGUGGUUUAAUCGGAAGCAACGCGCAGAACCUUACCAGCCCUUGACAUCNGAUNGCGGUUACCAGAGAUGGUUUCCUUCAGUUAGGNNGGAUCGGUGACAGGUGCUGCANGGCNGUCGUCAGCUCGUGUCNUGAGAUGUUGGGUUAAGUCCCGCAACGAGCGCAACCCUCGCCNUUAGUUGCCAUCAUUCAGUUGGGCACUCUAAGGGGACUGCCGGUGAUAAGCCGAGAGGAAGGUGGGGAUGACCCCANGUCCACAUGGCCCUUACGGGCUGGGNUACACACGUGNUACAAUGGUGGUGACAGUGGGCAGCGAGACCGCGAGGUCGAGCUAAUCUCCAAAAGCCAUCUCAGUUCGGAUUGCACUCUACAACUNGAGUGCAUGAAGUUGGAAUCGCUAGUAAUCGUGGAUCAGAAANNCACGGUGAAUACGUUCCCGGGCCUUGUACACACCGCCCGUCGUCAUGCUGAAAAAC